UUAAGUCCCGCAACGAGCGCAACCCUUGUCCUUAGUUGCCACCAUUCAGUUGGGCACUCUAAGGAGACUGCCGGUGUUAAACCGGAGGAAGGUGGGGAUGACGUCAAGUCCUCAUGGCCCUUAUAUCCAGGGCUACACACGUGCUACAAUGGCCGGUACAAAGGGUCGCAAUACCGCGAGGUGGAGCUAAUCCCAAAAAGCCGGUCUCAGUUCGGAUUGGAGUCUGCAACUCGACUCCAUGAAGUUGGAUUCGCUAGUAAUCGCGCAUCAGCCAUGGCGCGGUGAAUACGUUCCCGGGCCUU
RNAcentral lists this ribosomal RNA (302 nucleotides) under uncultured Geothermobacter sp. RNAcentral's name for it is "bacterial SSU rRNA". It matches the Rfam family "Bacterial small subunit ribosomal RNA", at positions 1080 to 1382 of the family's 1533-position model. The record is from RNAcentral. Lineage: Bacteria; Pseudomonadati; Thermodesulfobacteriota; Desulfuromonadia; Desulfuromonadales; Geothermobacteraceae.